UACGUAGGGGGCAAGCGUUGUCCGGAUUUAUUGGGCGUAAAGAGCGUGUAGGCGGCUUUACAGGUCCGUUGUGAAAACUCGAGGCUCAACCUCGAGACGCCGGUGGAAACCGUAAAGCUAGAGUCCGGAAGAGGAGAGUGGAAUUCCUGGUGUAGCGGUGAAAUGCGCAGAUAUCAGGAGGAACACCGGUGGCGAAGGCGGGUCUCUGGAACGGUACUGACGCUGAGACGCGAAAGCGUGGGGAGCGAACAGG
RNAcentral lists this ribosomal RNA (253 nucleotides) under uncultured bacterium. RNAcentral's name for it is "partial 16S ribosomal RNA". It matches the Rfam family "Bacterial small subunit ribosomal RNA", at positions 524 to 776 of the family's 1533-position model. The record is from RNAcentral.